This 915-nucleotide long non-coding RNA is filed under the name Mytilus galloprovincialis (Mediterranean mussel). The record is from RNAcentral. Lineage: Eukaryota; Metazoa; Mollusca; Bivalvia; Mytilida; Mytilidae.
GUACAAACCGACAGACAGACGGUCAAGUAUAAAGUAUGAAAUAUUAAUGGUUCUCGAGAGGUAGAGCGGACACAAUUUGUUAAGAACAACGAACGGAUGGACAGACCGACGGACUGACCUUUGACCUAGGAUGCAUACAUUAUGACACAUUCUCUGGUGUUGGUUAAUAUAUAUGUUAAGUUGAAAAUGUUUGUCAGGUAUAAAGUAUGAAAUAAUAACAGCUGUCCUCUCAAAAUAUAGUGUGGAUCAAAUUUGUUAGCGAUGGACAGACCAACAGACAGACAGACCUUUUGACCUAGGAAGUUGUACAUACAUCAUGACACACCCUCUGGUGUUGGUUAAAAUGGAUGUCAAGUAUAAUAUUUGAAAUCAUAACGGUUAUCUAGAUAUGGAGCGGACACGAUCUUCACCACAGGACACGGGGUUGUCAACUGAAACCAAAGUUUUUGACCUUGACCUUUGACCUAGGAAGUUGUACAUACAUCAUGACACACCCUCUGGUGUUGGUUAAUAAACAUGUUAAGUAUUAAGUAUAAAAUCAUAACGGUUAUCUAGAUAUGGAGCGGACACGAUCUUCACCACAGGACACAGGGUUGUCAACUGAAACCAAAGUUUUUGACCUUGACCUUUGACCUAGGAAGUUGUACAUACAUCAUGAAACACCCUCUGGUGUUGGUUAAAAUGGAUGUCAAGUAUAAACUUUGAAAUCAUAACGGUUCUCAAGAUAUAGAGCGGACACGAUCUUCACCACAGGACACAGGGUUGUCAAUUGAAACCAAAGUUUUUGACCUUGACCUUUGACCUAGGAAGUUGUACAUACAUCAUGACACGCCCUCUGGUGGUAGUUAAUAAACAUGUAAAGUAUAAAGUAUGAAAUCAUAAUGGUUCUCUAGAUAUGGAGCGGACACAAAGUUA